AUGAAGAGCAGAGGCUUCACAUGUGAUCAGGUGACACUGACAGCUUUAGUUCACAUGUAUAGCAAGGCCAGUAACCUUAAGCUGGCUGAAGAUACUUUUGAAGAGAUGAGGUUGCUUGGUGUACCAUUGGAUAAGAGGUCCUUUGGGUCAAUAAUCAUGGCCUAUGUUAGAGCUGGAAAGCUUGGUCAAGGAGAGGCUUUACUUAAGGAAAUGGAAGAACAAGAGACCUAUGCUGGACCAGAAGUUUAUAAAGCACUUCUGAGAGCCUAUUCGAUGAGUGGUGAUAGCAAAGGAGCUCAAAGGGUUUUUGACACAAUUCAGUUAGCAGGAGUAAUCCCUGAUGCG
This 345-nucleotide unclassified non-coding RNA is filed under the name Hevea brasiliensis (rubber tree). The record is from RNAcentral. Lineage: Eukaryota; Viridiplantae; Streptophyta; Magnoliopsida; Malpighiales; Euphorbiaceae.